GAUUGGGGCCAAGCCAUGCUACUGCUUCCCCAUAGGAGUUCCAGCAUAAGCGGCAGGCUGAAGAGUCCGUGCCCCCUCCAGGAUUCCAGCUCCGCCAGCCCCGGCACUCUCCUCUCCUUUUGCCAUAGAGUCUGCAGACCGCCAAGUGCAUCAUCAGGCAUUUACUAAGCACAGACUAAAUUGUCCAGAGUGCUAGUGAAUUUGGAUUCUGAAGACCUAAGUCUGUUCUAUUUCUAUCUAACAUCUUAACAGUCUUGGGACCAUAAGCAGAUAUCCUUCCUCCCUUCUGCUGAUUGAGAAGAUACUUUUUGCCUCUAGUUCUCAGAGUUGAAGACUUAGUGAGUCACACCCAAUCACGACAAUAGGUUCAGCUGUCUAAUGGAAAAGAAGAUUCAAGUUUUGCCUAUGGAAGUCUAUGGAAUUAUUUAUAAAAUAACUCAGCAUGUCCCCAGCUGCCAACUGGGAAGCAGUUUGAAUUUGUGUAGUCAAAUAUCUAGAAAACUCCCGGCUCUGGACAUGACCAAAGUUCCCACAGGAAAUAUACAUUCCUGUUUUGACCACAAGUGUCAUAUGUGAAGAGAAGCAGAAUCAAAAUAAAAGAACGAUUUAAAA
Monodelphis domestica (gray short-tailed opossum) is the source of this 612-nucleotide long non-coding RNA. RefSeq lists it as uncharacterized. The record is from RefSeq and is a predicted model, not a curated record. Lineage: Eukaryota; Metazoa; Chordata; Mammalia; Didelphimorphia; Didelphidae.